AUUGAACGCUGGCGGCAGGCUUAACACAUGCAAGUCGAGCGGAGAGAGGUAGCUUGCUACUGAUCUUAGCGGCGGACGGGUGAGUAAUGCUUAGGAAUCUGCCUAUUAGUGGGGGACAACAUUUCGAAAGGAAUGCUAAUACCGCAUACGUCCUACGGGAGAAAGCAGGGGAUCUUCGGACCUUGCGCUAAUAGAUGAGCCUAAGUCGGAUUAGCUAGUUGGUGGGGUAAAGGCCUACCAAGGCGACGAUCUGUAGCGGGUCUGAGAGGAUGAUCCGCCACACUGGGACUGAGACACGGCCCAGACUCCUACGGGAGGCAGCAGUGGGGAAUAUUGGACAAUGGGCGCAAGCCUGAUCCAGCCAUGCCGCGUGUGUGAAGAAGGCCUUAUGGUUGUAAAGCACUUUAAGCGAGGAGGAGGCUACUUUAGUUAAUACCUAGAGAUAGUGGACGUUACUCGCAGAAUAAGCACCGGCUAACCCUGUG
RNAcentral lists this ribosomal RNA (485 nucleotides) under uncultured bacterium. Its description in RNAcentral is "partial 16S ribosomal RNA". It matches the Rfam family "Bacterial small subunit ribosomal RNA", at positions 30 to 507 of the family's 1533-position model. The record is from RNAcentral.